GAUGAAGAACGCAGCGAAAUGCGAUAAGUAAUGUGAAUUGCAGAAUUCAGUGAAUCAUCGAAUCUUUGAACGCAUCUUGCGCUCCUUGGUAUUCUGAGGAGCAUGCCUGUUUGAGUGUCAUUAAAUUCUCAACCGCACUGACUUUGAAUUGAUGUGGCUUGGAUUUGGGGGGAAAAUUGUUGUGGGCUUUUUUGUAUAGUCUGCUCCCCUGAAAUUGAUUAGCGGUACCUUUGUGGAACUGUCUACAGGUGUGAUAAUUAUCUACAUCCUAGACAUCUGCUGGAAUGCUGCUUUCUAAACCUUACGUGUAUUGACAAUCUUGACCUCAAAUCAGGUAGGACUACCCGCUGAACUUAAGCAUAUCAAUAAGCGGAGGA
Molecule: unclassified non-coding RNA, 377 nt
Filed under: soil metagenome
Description: partial contains 5.8S ribosomal RNA, internal transcribed spacer 2, and large subunit ribosomal RNA
Rfam family: 5.8S ribosomal RNA (bases 1-120)
Source: RNAcentral